CUCCAAUGCGAGCGACCGCCGCUGAAAGGCGGCUUUCCUUCGGGACGCGAAGCAAGGUGCUGCAUGGUUGUCGUCAGCUCGUGCCGUGAGGUGUUGGGUUAAGUCCCGCAACGAGCGCAACCCCUAUUUCCAGUUGCCAGCACGUAAUGGUGGGGACUCUGGAGAGACUGCCGGCGUAAGCCGCGAGGAAGGUGGGGACGACGUCAAAUCAUCAUGGCCUUUAUGCCCGGGGCUACACACGUGCUACAAUGGCGGGUACAGAGGGCCGCGAAGCCGCGAGGUGGAGCCAAUCCCUCAAAGCCCGUCCCAGUUCGGAUCGGAGUCUGCAACCCGACUCCGUGAAGGUGGAAUCGCUAGUAAUCGCGCAUCAGCCAUGGCGCGGUGAAUACGUUCCCGGACCUUGCACACACCGCCCGU
RNAcentral lists this ribosomal RNA (417 nucleotides) under uncultured bacterium. RNAcentral's name for it is "bacterial SSU rRNA". It matches the Rfam family "Bacterial small subunit ribosomal RNA", at positions 980 to 1397 of the family's 1533-position model. The record is from RNAcentral.